RNAcentral lists this signal recognition particle RNA (63 nucleotides) under Candidatus Latescibacterota bacterium. RNAcentral's name for it is "Candidatus Latescibacteria bacterium partial signal recognition particle sRNA large type". It matches the Rfam family "Bacterial large signal recognition particle RNA", at positions 1 to 63 of the family's 256-position model. From Rfam's summary of the family: The signal recognition particle (SRP) is a universally conserved ribonucleoprotein involved in the co-translational targeting of proteins to membranes. Lineage: Bacteria; Pseudomonadati; Candidatus Latescibacterota. The record is from RNAcentral.
UCGUGCUAGGCGGGGAGCCAGCGGUGCCCUGUACCCGCAAUCCGCUACAGCGGGGCUUAAUUC